GACGAACGCUGGCGGCGUGCUUAACACAUGCAAGUCGUACGGUAAGGCCCUUUCGGGGGUACACGAGUGGCGAACGGGUGAGUAACACGUGAGUAACCUGCCCACAACUUUGGGAUAACGCUAGGAAACUGGUGCUAAUACUGGAUAUGUGCUCCUGCUGCAUGGUGGGGGUUGGAAAGCUCCGGCGGUUGUGGAUGGACUCGCGGCCUAUCAGCUUGUUGGUGGGGUAGUGGCCUACCAAGGCGGCGACGGGUAGCCGGCCUGAGAGGGUGACCGGCCACAUUGGGACUGAGAUACGGCCCAGACUCCUACGGGAGGCAGCAGUGGGGAAUAUUGCACAAUGGGCGCAAGCCUGAUGCAGCAACGCCGCGUGCGGGAUGACGGCCUUCGGGUUGUAACCGCUUUCAGCAGGGACGAAGCUUUUUGUGACGGUACCUGCAGAAGAAGCACCGGCUAACUACGUG
RNAcentral lists this ribosomal RNA (464 nucleotides) under uncultured bacterium. Its description in RNAcentral is "partial 16S ribosomal RNA". It matches the Rfam family "Bacterial small subunit ribosomal RNA", at positions 28 to 507 of the family's 1533-position model. The record is from RNAcentral.